AUUGAACGCUGGCGGCAUGCCUUACACAUGCAAGUCGAACGGCAGCACGGGAGCAAUCCUGGUGGCGAGUGGCGAACGGGUGAGUAAUAUAUCGGAACGUGCCCAGUCGUGGGGGAUAACGUAGCGAAAGCUACGCUAAUACCGCAUACGAUCUAUGGAUGAAAGCGGGGGAUCGCAAGACCUCGCGCGAUUGGAGCGGCCGAUAUCAGAUUAGGUAGGUGGUGAGGUAAAGGCUCACCAAGACCACGAUCUGUAGCUGGUCUGAGAGGACGACCGGCCACGAUGGGACUGAGACACGGCCCAGAGUCCUGCGGGAGGCAGCAGUGGGGAAUUGUGGACAAUGGGCGCAAGCCUGAUCCAGCAAUGCCGCGUGCAGGAUGAAGGCCUUCGGGUUGUAAACUGCUUUUGUACGGAACGAAACGGCGAGCUCUAAUACAGUUUGCUAAUGACGGUACCGUAAGAAUAAGCACCGGCUAACUACGUGCCAGCAGCCGCGGUAA
RNAcentral lists this ribosomal RNA (500 nucleotides) under uncultured bacterium. Its description in RNAcentral is "partial 16S ribosomal RNA". It matches the Rfam family "Bacterial small subunit ribosomal RNA", at positions 29 to 523 of the family's 1533-position model. The record is from RNAcentral.